RNAcentral lists this ribosomal RNA (492 nucleotides) under uncultured bacterium. Its description in RNAcentral is "partial 16S ribosomal RNA". It matches the Rfam family "Bacterial small subunit ribosomal RNA", at positions 30 to 507 of the family's 1533-position model. The record is from RNAcentral.
AUUGAACGCUGGCGGCAUGCUUUACACAUGCCAGUCGAACGGUAACAGGCCUUCGGGUGCUGACGAGUGGCGUACGGGUGAGUAAUGCAUCGGAACGUGCCCAGAGGUGGGGGAUAACGCAGCGAAAGCUGUGCUAAUACCGCAUGUGAUCUGAGGAUGAAAGCGGGGGACCAGGCAGCAAUGUUUGGCCUCGCGCCUUUGGAGCGGCCGAUGUCAGAUUAGGUAGUUGGUGGGGUAAAGGCCUACCAAGCCGACGAUCUGUAGCUGGUCUGAGAGGACGACCAGCCACACUGGGAGUGAGACACGGCCCAGACUCCUACGGGAGGCAGCAGUGGGGAAUUUUGGACAAUGGGCGCAAGCCUGAUCCAGCAAUGCCGCGUGCGGGAAGAAGGCCUUCGGGCUGUAAAACGCUUUUGUACGGAACGAAAAGGAUCUGGCUAAUACCUGGGGCUGAUGACGGUACCGUAAGAAUAAGCACCGGCUAACUACGUG